CCUACGGGGGGCAGCAGUGGGGAAUAUUGCACAAUGGGGGAAACCCUGAUGCAGCGACGCCGCGUGAGCGAGGAAGUAUUUCGGUAUUUAAAGCUCUAUCAGCAGGGACGAAAAAAGACGGUACCUGACUAAGAAGCCCCGGCUAACUACGUGCCAGCAGCCGCGGUAAUACGUAGGGGGCAAGCGUUAUCCGGAUUUACUGGGGGUAAAGGGAGCGUAGACGGCAAGGCAAGCCAGAAGUGAAAGGGCAGGGAUCAACCCUGUACAUGCUUUUGGAACUGUGGUGCUAGAGUGCAGGAGAGGUAAGUGGAAUUCCUGGUGUAGCGGUGAAAUGCGUAGAUAUUAGGAAGAACACCAGUGGCGAAGGCGGCUUACUGGACUGUAACUGACGUUGAGGCUCGAAAGCGUGGGGAGCAAACAGGAUUAGAUACCCGGGUAGUC
Molecule: ribosomal RNA, 441 nt
Filed under: uncultured bacterium
Lineage: Bacteria
Description: partial 16S ribosomal RNA
Rfam family: Bacterial small subunit ribosomal RNA
Source: RNAcentral